RNAcentral lists this ribosomal RNA (253 nucleotides) under uncultured bacterium. RNAcentral describes it as "partial 16S ribosomal RNA". It matches the Rfam family "Bacterial small subunit ribosomal RNA", at positions 524 to 776 of the family's 1533-position model. The record is from RNAcentral.
UACGAAGGGGGCUAGCGUUGCUCGGAAUUACUGGGCGUAAAGCGCACGUAGGCGGCUCUUUAAGUCGGGGGUGAAAUCCUGGAGCUCAACUCCAGAACUGCCUUCGAUACUGAAGAGCUCGAGUCCGGGAGAGGUGAGUGGAACUGCGAGUGUAGAGGUGAAAUUCGUAGAUAUUCGCAAGAACACCAGUGGCGAAGGCGGCUCACUGGCCCGGUACUGGCGCUGAGGUGCGAAAGCGUGGGGAGCAAACAGG